Oncorhynchus gorbuscha (pink salmon) is the source of this 1368-nucleotide long non-coding RNA. RefSeq lists it as uncharacterized. Lineage: Eukaryota; Metazoa; Chordata; Actinopteri; Salmoniformes; Salmonidae. The record is from RefSeq and is a predicted model, not a curated record. The transcript has 7 exons.
AAUUGCAGGAAGUAUCUCCCUACAUGAGCAAGAGAGGAUGAGGUGGAGAGGGAGUAAGAUCACUAGAAAGGAGGAUGCUGGCAGACCACCAAAGGACCCUAGAGUUUGAAGCACGUCCCCAACACCCAGACAGAUCUAAAGAACUUGGGAACUGCCCAACCACCAGGAACAUCUUGUGUUCUUGGUGUUCAUUCACAAGGCCCUGAUCUCCGUGAUCUGCGUGAAGAGGAGGCGGAGAAAGAGGGGUGGGCUGCCUCCUGAGAUAUCGUAGGCGAUCGAAUAAACCCCCCAUUUCCCUCCUUUCUGCUCGCAAAUGUGAAAUCCUUGGAGAAUAGAAUUGAUUUGAUAUCUGAUUUCCAGGAGCCUAGUGGAGAUGGCAGGACAUGGAGUAUGGUUGCUACCCAUAGGAACAUGGAGCAGGAACAUGGAGCUCUCCAUGUCAGUGUCUGUGCUACAGAGAAUAUUCCAAGGACCCCCAGAGGCUUCAGAUCAACUACUCUCCAGAGCACAAAGAAGGAGCUCGUGAAUCUUCUCAACACCCAGAGACAUUUCAAAUAAAUUCUUCAUUGGCCUGUCAUAAUGCCUUUCCACUCCCAUCAACACCAGUAAGAGACUCUCGUGAUCCACUAUGAAAUGGCCUCAUUGUGCGGGGCAUGAAAGAUUUCUCCAGCUCCAUCUCCGGGAGAGCGCUCUGAACUGUGAAUUCCUCUUUCAGACAUCCAAAGACCCGGAGCAAUGGGCCGCCAGCACUGUUGAUGCACUCAGUUGCUUCACGUGUCUAAAACUGUCUGACAUGUUUAGGUUCGCCAUACCUUUGCUCAAUAUCUGGGUGAUAUUUCCCUGGCAACCGUGAGGUUAUGCCCAUUGGUUUAAGCAAGACCAAUGAUUAAAACGCUAAUGUUCUAACUUUGAAGUAUGAAUAUUCUGAUGAGUUGAUCAUGGGAGACAAUUCUAUAACAAUCUCAUGUGAUGUCUGGGCUGAUGCUUAUCUUCUAUUGGUUGGACUCCUCUCUAUCUAAUCUGCAUCUACUGGAAAGUUGCAGAUGUAAAGACAGAACACAACAGAACCAAAAGGAUACUUUACUCAGACUUGACUUUUAGGUUAUUACACUUGUAAUCUCCAAGGACUCUCUACUCUACUCUCUACUCUUCUCAGGACUACUGGGAUGACUUCACAGAGUAUUGCUUUACUCACCUCAUUCUCAAGACAGGCACGGACUAAACAUACACCUUACCUGACCUGGCAGCAUGGUUGUACAGAAAGUCCCAGGCUAAUGGCCCCGUUUAUAUCAUGACAUAUUUAAUUACGUCGUACAUCAUCUUCACGGAGUCUUGCCCCACUACUGAAUAGACAAGUGGAGUGUUUGU